Molecule: small nuclear RNA, 107 nt
Organism: Eptesicus fuscus (big brown bat)
Lineage: Eukaryota; Metazoa; Chordata; Mammalia; Chiroptera; Vespertilionidae
Source: RefSeq, a predicted model, not a curated record
GUGCUCCCUUCAGCAGCACAUAUACUAAAACUGAAAUGAUACAGAGAAGAUUAGCAUGGCCCCUGCACAAGGAUGACACACAAAAGCGUGAGGCGUGCCAUAAAAAG